Molecule: long non-coding RNA, 1239 nt
Filed under: Homo sapiens (human)
Lineage: Eukaryota; Metazoa; Chordata; Mammalia; Primates; Hominidae
Description: PREDICTED lncRNA (TCONS_00073558)
Source: RNAcentral
CAGCAGUGCUGGGGGACCCGGCGCACCCUCCGCAGCUGCUGGCCCGGGUGCUAAACCCCUCACUGCCCGGGCCGGCGGUGCCGGCGGGCUGCUCUCAGUGCGGGACCUCGGAGCCUGCGCCCACCCGGAACUAGCCGCGUUCAGCCCUGGUUCCCGCCCCCGCCUCUCCCGCCACACCUCUCCACAAGCAGAGGGAGCUGGCUUCAGCCUCAGCCAGCACAGAGAGGGGCCCCCAUAGCGCAGUGGCGGGCUGAAGGGCUCCUUGAGCAUGGCCAGAGUGGACGCCAAGGCUGAGGAGGCGCCGAGAGCCAGUGAGGGCUGCUAGCAUGUUGUCACCUCUCAAUACAUCUGGGGCCUCUUCUUCAUGAAUGGCAGAUGCAGCAGCAGUGUCACAGAUGCCUCCCAAAGGCACCCUCUCUCUGUGGAUGCUGCCAGUCUCCAAGAUUGAGGAUGGUGAUGUCAGCCCUACGGCUGCCCAAGGCCAGUGCUGUUUUUAUUGUUUCCACCACCAUCAACACAGCCAGCAGCAUGAGGGGGGCCAAUAAUGUCAACAGGUUUCAGCAUUUUCUCCAUCAUCACCCUUGGGACUUGGAUAAAACUACUGGAGGGUGGUUCCAAGAUGGCCAAAUAGGAACAGCUCCAGUCUACAGCUCCCAGCAUGAGUGAUGCAGAAGACGAAUGAUUUCUGCAUUUCCAACUCAGAGAGCUGACUUUAGAGGGAUCAAGAAUAGCUUGCUGGAUGGAAGGAGCUUGGGGCCAGUCAUCAUCUUAAAGGCUCUGUGGCAGCUUGGACUUGAAGUAGGGUGCACCCGGAAUUGACCAAUACAAACAGUGGACUGCACUGGAUUCUUCUUGUGCCCUGUCUCAUAUCCUCUUGUCCCACCUUUUCAUAACAGCCAUUGCCAUGGGAACCAGCUGCAUCCAGGUACGACCUGACAGCACCCUGCUUCACUGUCAUGGUGCUCCUGCAGCAUUCUGGUUAGCCAUCAUGUUGCACACACAGACCUGGAAGGGUCAGGGAGUUGCCCAUGGCAACUCUUGGCCACCAAGGGAAAGGACUAGCUCGAUAGCACACUCUUGCCUUGCGUUUCCCUAUUUUUCUUCUCUUAGUUGUUCAUACCUUGUUUCACAUCCCCAUAUAAGCCAUCUGUACCCAAGUCCUUGUUUCAUCUUCCAUUUCAGGAAAUACCAGGUUAAUACAGAAACGCAAACUACAACAAAUAAACAUUCACAUUUUAA